This 497-nucleotide ribosomal RNA is filed under the name uncultured bacterium. Its description in RNAcentral is "bacterial SSU rRNA". It matches the Rfam family "Bacterial small subunit ribosomal RNA", at positions 899 to 1397 of the family's 1533-position model. The record is from RNAcentral.
ACUCAAAGGAAUUGACGGGGGCCCGCACAAGCGGCGGAGCAUGUUGCUUAAUUCGAGGCAACGCGAAGAACCUUACCUAGGUUGAACUACGCAGGAACAGCCACAGAGAUGUGGUGUCCUUCGGGGCCUGCGAUAGGUGGUGCAUGGCUGUCGUCAGCUCGUGUCGUGAGAUGUUGGGUUAAGUCCCGCAACGAGCGCAACCCUUAUCCUAUGUUGCCAGCGCGUAAUGGCGGGGACUCGUGGGAGACUGCCGGGGUCAACUCGGAGGAAGGUGGGGACGACGUCAAGUCAUCAUGCCCCUUAUGUCUAGGGCUGCAAACAUGCUACAAUGGCUGGUACAAAGGGCUGCGAAACCGCGAGGUCGAGCGAAUCCCAAAAAGCCAGUCUCAGUUCGGAUUGAAGUCUGCAACUCGACUUCAUGAAGCUGGAGUCGCUAGUAAUCCCGGAUCAGCAACGCCGGGGUGAAUACGUUCCCGGGCCUUGUACACACCGCCCGU